This 424-nucleotide ribosomal RNA is filed under the name Fusobacteriota bacterium. Its description in RNAcentral is "Fusobacteria bacterium partial 16S ribosomal RNA". It matches the Rfam family "Bacterial small subunit ribosomal RNA", at positions 355 to 776 of the family's 1533-position model. The record is from RNAcentral. Lineage: Bacteria; Fusobacteriati; Fusobacteriota.
UGAGGAAUAUUGGUCAAUGGGCGAGAGCCUGAACCAGCCAAGUAGCGUGCAGGAUGACGGCCCUAUGGGUUGUAAACUGCUUUUAUGUGGGGAUAAAGUGCGUGACGUGUCAUGCAUUGCAGGUACCACAUGAAUAAGGACCGGCUAAUUCCGUGCCAGCAGCCGCGGUAAUACGGAAGGUCCGGGCGUUAUCCGGAGUUAUUGGGUUUAAAGUGAGCGUAGGCUGUCUAUUAAGCGUGUUGUGAAAUUUACCGGCUCAACCGGUGGCUUGCAGAGCGAACUGGUCGACUUGAGUAUGCAGGAAGUAGGCGGAAUUCGUGGUGUAGCGGUGAAAUGCUUAGAUAUAAUGACGAACUUCGAUUGCGCAGGCAGCUUACUGUAGCAUAACUGACGAUGAUGCUCGUAAGUGCGGGUAUCAAACAGG